Molecule: long non-coding RNA, 632 nt
Organism: Serinus canaria (Common canary)
Lineage: Eukaryota; Metazoa; Chordata; Aves; Passeriformes; Fringillidae
Exons: 4
Source: RefSeq, a predicted model, not a curated record
CCCAGGCCACUUGUGCCAGCAGCAACUGGGGCCUGUCCCACCCACCAGCACUGCUAUAAACCCAGCCUGACUGCAGCAUUCCCUGGCCCCAGGGGCAUCUGCACACAGCCAUUCCUCUUGGCUUUGCUGCUGCCUGAACACCAAAGCCUUUGUCAGGGAGCUCUGUGAAGACCCAGGAGAGGCAGCAGCCAUGAAGAUCCUGUUCCUGCUCUUCCCCCUGAUCCUCCUGUUGGUCCAGGGUGCUGCAGGCAAUGCAGUUGUGUGCAGGCGACUACGGGGAUUCUGCUCCAGGCGUUCUUGCCCGUAUGGUACACGUUUUAUUGGAAGAUGUGCUGGAGGAUAUGUGUGCUGCAGGAGUCCCAGGGGCUGAGACCCUGAAAUUCCCAAGCAGGACAUGGCCCUCGCUUCUGGCUGCUAGACACAUCUCCUGAUGUCCCCAUCUCCUGAUGUCCCUGUCUGCUGAUGUCCCCUGCCCUGUGUACCUGUGCCAUGCCCAGCUGGGCUGACAGCAGCAGUGGCAGCUGCUCCUGCUGGGUGCUGCUGGGCUGGAGCCCUGUGGUGCCAGCCCCGGUGUCUUUGGGGCAGGGGCUGCUUUUCCUGGCUUGAAUAAAGACGAGCACUUUGGCAUUGCA